Molecule: ribosomal RNA, 305 nt
Filed under: uncultured bacterium
Lineage: Bacteria
Description: bacterial SSU rRNA
Rfam family: Bacterial small subunit ribosomal RNA
Source: RNAcentral
GUCUCCUACGGGAGGCAGCAGUGGGGAAUAUUGCACAAUGGGGGAAACCCUGAUGCAGCGACGCCGCGUGAGUGAAGAAGUAUUUCGGUAUGUAAAGCUCUGUCAGCAGGGAAGAAAAUGACGGUACCUGACCAAGAAGCCCCGGUUAACUACGGGCCAGCAGCCGCGGUAAUACGUAGGGGGCAAGCGUUAUCCGGAUUUACUGGGUGUAAAGGGAGCGUAGACGGCAGGGCAAGUCUGGAGUGAAAGGCGGGGGAUCAACCCCCGGAAUGCUCUGGAAACUGCCAGGCUGGAGGGCAGGAGAG